UCCAGACUCCUACGGGAGGCAGCAGUGGGGAAUAUUGCACAAUGGGGGGAACCCUGAUGCAGCGACGCCGCGUGGGUGAAGGAGUACUUCGGUACGUAAAGCCCUAUCAGCAGGAAAGAAAAUGACGGUACCUGACUAAGAAGCCCCGGCUAACUACGUGCCAGCAGCCGCGGUAAUACGUAGGGGGCAAGCGUUAUCCGGAUUUACUGGGUGUAAAGGGAGCGUAGACGGCAGUGCAAGUCCGGAGUGAAAGCCCGGGGCUCAACCCUGGGACUGCUCUGGAAACUGUAAAGCCGGAGUGCGGGAGGGGCAGGCGGAAUUCCUGGUGUAGCGGUGAAAUGCGUAGAUAUCAGGAGGAACACCGGCGGCGAAGGCGGCCUGCUGGACCGUAACUGACGUUGAGGCUCGAAAGCGUGGGGAGCAAACAGGAUUAGAUACCCUAGUAC
Molecule: ribosomal RNA, 446 nt
Filed under: uncultured bacterium
Lineage: Bacteria
Description: bacterial SSU rRNA
Rfam family: Bacterial small subunit ribosomal RNA
Source: RNAcentral